GAUGAACGCUGGCGGCGUGCCUAAUACAUGCAAGUCGAGCGAACGGACGAGAAGCUUGCUUCUCUGAUGUUAGCGGCGGACGGGUGAGUAACACGUGGAUAACCUACCUAUAAGACUGGGAUAACUUCGGGAAACCGGAGCUAAUACCGGAUGAUAUUUUGAACCGCAUGGUUCAAAAGUGAAAGACGGUCUUGCUGUCACUUAUAGAUGGAUCCGCGCUGCAUUAGCUAGUUGGUAAGGUAACGGCUUACCAAGGCAACGAUGCAUAGCCGACCUGAGAGGGUGAUCGGCCACACUGGAACUGAGACACGGUCCAGACUCCUACGGGAGGCAGCAGUAGGGAAUCUUCCGCAGUGGGCGAAAGCCUGACGGAGCAACGCCGCGUGAGUGAUGAAGGUCUUCGGAUCGUAAAACUCUGUUAUUAGGGAAGAACAUAUGUGUAAGUAACUGUGCACAUCUGGACGGUACCUAAUCAGAAAGCCACGGCUAACUACGU
This 496-nucleotide ribosomal RNA is filed under the name uncultured bacterium. RNAcentral describes it as "partial 16S ribosomal RNA". It matches the Rfam family "Bacterial small subunit ribosomal RNA", at positions 28 to 506 of the family's 1533-position model. The record is from RNAcentral.